CCUACGGGUGGCAGCAGUGGGGGAUAUUGCACAAUGGGGGGAACCCUGAUGCAGCGACGCCGCGUGGGUGAAGAAGCGCCUCGGCGCGUAAAGCCCUGUCAGCAGGGAAGAAAAUGACGGUACCUGCAGACGACGCCCCGGCUACCUACGUGCCAGCCGCCGCGGUACUACGUAGGGGGCAAGCGUUAUCCGGAUUUACUGGGUGUAACGGGGGCGCAGACGGCGAUGCAAGCCAGGAGUGAAAGCCCGGGGCCCAACCCCGGGACUGCGCUUGGAACUGCGUGGCUGGAGUGCAGGAGGGGCAGGCGGAAUUCCUGGUGUAGCGGUGAAAUGCGUAGAUAUCAGGAGGAACACCGGUGGCGAAGGCGGCCUGCUGGACUGCAACUGACGUUGAGGCCCGAAAGCGUGGGGAGCAAACAGGAUUAGAUACCCGGGUAGUC
This 440-nucleotide ribosomal RNA is filed under the name uncultured bacterium. Its description in RNAcentral is "partial 16S ribosomal RNA". It matches the Rfam family "Bacterial small subunit ribosomal RNA", at positions 338 to 795 of the family's 1533-position model. The record is from RNAcentral.